AUGAUACGGCGGCUUCUCAAUGUGGUGGUGAAGAAUACUUCCACAGGCGUCCACUCGGUGCGGCGAAUCGACCCGUACAAGCAUCUCUUCUACGAAUCAGCAGGUGAGCCAGCAGCGUCGAUCGCAAACAAGGCCAAGGAUUGUGCUCUGGAAAUGCAGGCCCUUUCUCUGCCCGAGCCAGCGGUGAGCUUCUCUCCAUCCCCGACCACUCUGCCGCUCAUGGGCGGCAUUGAUUUGUUCGCGCCCAUGGGCGGCGGCGAAGGCAGGAUCGUAGGCGCCAACGUGGCCGGCGAAAGCAUGCUGUACGAUGCCGACGAGCGUCUCUUCCUUCAUCUGCCCUGGAUCAACGAGCCCAAGGGGUGGAACCCCGUGUGCCUCUCCAUCCCCAUACCCGGCGCCGCCGAGAACAGCCUCUACGUCAUGGAGAGGUGCCUCGGGGAGUCCAUGGAUGCAUAUGGCUCCAGUGAGGACUACACCGUUUCCUGCUUCGAGGUCCUCGAGCACGGGCCCAGGACCGGCGGCCAUGAGGUGCGCGAAAUGCAUAGAGGCUGGCGCUGGCGGGUUCUCCGGCCGCCUCCAUUCGUCCUCGAACCAGACUACCAACCCUCUGUAUCGCCUCCUACACUAGCAUGGUUAACAAGGCCAACAGGUGCUCCACCAUCUACAUGCCAUGCGAGGACAGGCGCAUUGGCACCUAUUGCUUUGACACGUCGAGGAACGUGGAGCAAUGGAGGCGCGUCGGGGAGUGGGCUCUGCCCUUUCAUGGGGAAGCCAAGUACAUAA
RNAcentral lists this ribosomal RNA (783 nucleotides) under Triticum aestivum (bread wheat). RNAcentral's name for it is "partial small subunit ribosomal RNA". Lineage: Eukaryota; Viridiplantae; Streptophyta; Magnoliopsida; Poales; Poaceae. The record is from RNAcentral.